Molecule: ribosomal RNA, 253 nt
Filed under: uncultured bacterium
Lineage: Bacteria
Description: partial 16S ribosomal RNA
Rfam family: Bacterial small subunit ribosomal RNA
Source: RNAcentral
UACGUAGGGCGCAAGCGUUGUCCGGAAUUAUUGGGCGUAAAGAGCUCGUAGGCGGUCUGUCGCGUCUGUUGUGAAAACUCGAGGCUCAACCUCGGGCUUGCAGUGGAUACGGGCAGACUAGAGUGCGGUAGGGGAGACUGGAAUUCCUGGUGUAGCGGUGGAAUGCGCAGAUAUCAGGAGGAACACCGGUGGCGAAGGCGGGUCUCUGGGCCGUAACUGACGCUGAGGAGCGAAAGCAUGGGGAGCGAACAGG